AUUUUAUUGAGAGUUUGAUCCUGGCUCAGGAUUAACGCUGGCGGCAUGCCUAAUACAUGCAAGUCGAACGAAAGUAGCAAUACUUUAGUGGCGAACGGGUGAGUAACACGUAUCUAACCUACCAUUUAGUGGGGAAUAACUGUUGGAAACGACAGCUAAUACUGCAUAUGUUAUUUAUUUGCAAUGAUAAAUAAUGAAAGGAGCAUUUGCUUCGCUAAUUAAUGGGGAUGCGGCGCAUUAACUAGUUGGUAAGGUAAUGGCUUACCAAGGUAACGAUGCGUAGCCGAUCUGAGAAGAUGAACGGCCACAUUGGGACUGAGACACGGCCCAAACUUCUACGGAAGGCAGCAGUAGGGAAUUUUUCACAAUGGGCGAAAGCCUGAUGGAGCAAUGCCGCGUGACUGAUGAAAGUCUUCGGAUUGUAAAAGUCUGUUGUAAGGGAAGAAGUGCUAGAAUAGGAAAUGAUUUUAGUAUCGACCAUACCUUAUCAGAAAGCCACGGCUAACUAUGUGCCAGCAGCCGCGGUAAUACAUAGGUGGCAAGCGUUAUCCGGAUUUAUUGGGCGUAAAGCGUGCGUAGACGGUUUUGCAAGUCUGAGGUUAAAUUUAGGGGCUCAACCCCUAACCGCCUUGGAAACUACAUUACUAGAGUAUAGGAGAGGUUAGUGGAAUUUCAUGUGUAGCGGUGGAAUGCCUAGAUAUAUGAAGGAACACCAGUGGCGAAGGCGGCUAACUGGCCUAUUACUGACGUUGUGGCACGAAAGCGUGGGGAGCAAAUAGGAUUAGAUACCCUAGUAGUCCACGCCGUAAACGAUGAGUACUAAGUAUUGCCAUGAGGCAGUGCUGUAGCUAACGCAUUAAGUACUCCGCCUGAGUAGUAUGCUCGCAAGAGUGAAACUCAAAGGAAUUGACGGGGACCCGCACAAGCGGUGGAGCAUGUGGUUUAAUUCGAAGCAACGCGAAGGACCUUACCAGGUCUUGACAUACCUUGCGAAGCUAUAGAGAUAUAGUAGAGGUUAACAAGGAUACAGGUGGUGCAUGGUUGUCGUCAGUUCGUGUCGUGAGAUGUUUGGUUAAGUUCAGCAACGAACGCAACCCUUGUCCUUAGUUGCCAGCAUUAAGUUGGGGACUCUAAGGAGACUGCUAGUGUAAGCUAGAGGAAGGUGGGGACGACGUCAAAUCAUCAUGCCCCUUAUGACCUGGGCUACACACGUGCUACAAUGGCUGAUACAAAGAGUCGUUAAACCGCGAGGUCAAGCAAAUCUCAAAAAGUCAGUCUCAGUCCGGAUUGAAGUCUGCAACUCGACUUCAUGAAGUCGGAAUCGCUAGUAAUCGCGAAUCAGCAAUGUCGCGGUGAAUACGUUCUCGGGUCUUGUACACACCGCCCGUCAAACCACGAGAGUUGGCAAUGCCAGAAGUCGGUGUCCUAACCGUAAGGAGGGAGCUGCCAAAGGCAGGGUUGAUGAUUGGGGUUAAGUCGUAACAAGGUAUCCCUACCGGAAGGUGGGGAUGGAUCACCUCCUUUCUAUGGAG
This 1532-nucleotide ribosomal RNA is filed under the name Spiroplasma endosymbiont of Danaus chrysippus. RNAcentral describes it as "SSU rRNA". It matches the Rfam family "Bacterial small subunit ribosomal RNA". Lineage: Bacteria; Bacillati; Mycoplasmatota; Mollicutes; Entomoplasmatales; Spiroplasmataceae. The record is from RNAcentral.